Molecule: long non-coding RNA, 1677 nt
Organism: Boleophthalmus pectinirostris (great blue-spotted mudskipper)
Lineage: Eukaryota; Metazoa; Chordata; Actinopteri; Gobiiformes; Gobiidae
Exons: 3
Source: RefSeq, a predicted model, not a curated record
GAUCUUCCUGGUCUUCUUCACCACUGGCACAGAGCGCUCCUUCACCUUUAGGACUGUAGAGGGCGCCAUUUCUCCUCCUGACUCAACAAGGCCAACUUCUUCAUACAGGAACUGACCUGGAGAAGCAGUUACAGUCACAUUGGACUUCCCAAUGAUGGCCACCGUCAAUACACCACUGGUCACUGUGACAGUGGAAUGACAGGCCAAAACCAUGCGGUCUUUUCCAUCCAGAAUCACCUUUUUAGGAGUCACUUCGAUGUAAGCUCGUCUGGGGUGGUCCACUACAAUUGUUAUGGUGUUGAAAUAUGUACGCUGUUGCUUGUGACUGCCUGGAGGCGCAGGAGCACCAAGGAGCUUUCCAUUUACUGUCACACCUUGAAAGUAGACAAUAGAAUUCAACAUUCUUUGCACAGAUAUUGCUGCUGUUUAUUUAUUUUACCAGGUAAACAUAAGACAUGCAGCUCUCAUUUUAAUCAUGAACUAAGGAUUAUAGAUAAAAGUAUGUAAUUCUGUGUUCUUUUUGCAGUGCUAGUUGUGCAAGGAUGUAUGGUUCAAUUUGUAAGGAAAACAUACCAGAAUUCUUGUGGUCCGAGACCAGACUCAAGAUGUGUCCGGGCUCACCAUUAAUGUUAAAGCACACCGUCAGUUUGCUUAGUGGAAUCUCAACCACAAAGUGGGGGUCACCAUCAGCUAAGAGUGCACAAAGGAGAGAUAUGUGUAAUAAAAUAGAUGUCUAUUUAAAAAUGUGAACAGGUAAACACAACCUUAAACAAGUGAAGUGUAGUACAGACUAGAGCAAAUCUGAAAAUUGAGACAAACCAGUCCUUACUUGUUACCAAAUUCUUAAUUUGUAUGAUUUUCAGGGGCUUGUGAGAACCAAGAGAAUUGAAAAGAGAAGUGAUGAGGUGAGAAAUGAUAGAGCAGGUGUAAUAACAGGGUCAUUAGCCUUUGCUAACUACCUCAGAUGGGGUGCUUCUUGUCGCUGUAACACAAACGUGGUCCCUGUGCACUGUACACCAUGUGUAAACUACCACUUUGUGUCUUUAGGUAUUUCAAUUAGACCUUGUGUGUUCUUCCUUUUUCCAGGUCAUGUUCAGAGCCAUCCUUGAGCUGUUUGUUCACACUGACUGUGUGAUCACCUUGUCUACUCGACAAGCCUUAAAAUUACAGACCUUCAACUAAAAGGAAAAAUUCCCCCUAUCACACUUUAUCAUGUAGCUGUAUUUUCACAAGAGAGAAAUAACAUUCAACACACCUGAUGUUUUUGAGAUACUGAUUGGCUUCUUGGAUGGAACUUUACCUGCAAGCAUAGAAAAAAGCAAAAAGCAAUAAAUAAAUAAAUAAAACAGCUUUAGUUGUCAAGAAGCGCCCCUGUUUUCAGUUAACCACAUAUAAAAAAGCAAGGGCUCACCAACUGUGCUGCUCUGGUGAGAAGAGCCAGUAGACCUCUGGUCAGAUUUCUGGGGCUGUCCUUCCUCUGUGUUCUCUGGCAGGCUAUUGGCAGCUGAAUCUCCUCCCAGAGGAGCUGGGGAGACAGUGGGUGCUGGUGCCAUGGUUCCAUCAGCCAGGACCUCAGGCUUCUCCACCACCAGUCUUGAUCGAAGACCAUCUUUAACACUGAGAAAUCCCCAUACACGUUCAGCAAAGUCCUCCGCAAUGGCUCCCAGAGCAACAUCC